This 508-nucleotide unclassified non-coding RNA is filed under the name Hevea brasiliensis (rubber tree). The record is from RNAcentral. Lineage: Eukaryota; Viridiplantae; Streptophyta; Magnoliopsida; Malpighiales; Euphorbiaceae.
AGGAAUUAGACCCAAUAACCUGACUUCUAGCUUGAUACGUUGGCAGAUUAUUGGUUUUAGCAGCAAAAAUCUUAGGCUCAAUAAUUCCUGAAGCCAUUUGUCUCUCUUAUUGUAUAACCAGAGAAAACACUAUUAAUUGAAGGUGAGGGUUCAAUUAGCAUAAUCUGUGUCCUAACUGUGGUAAUUGGUCAUUCUAGCCUUUCAAAAUCCUAAUAACAUGGUCAUUUCACAGUAGUAAUGACUCCACAUCAACACUGAAUAGCACAUGAAUAUUGCGGUAUUGGCCCGAAAUUCUCCAACUCAUCCCCCAAAAUUAUCAACUGAGUAAAGUAAUCAGUUAUAGGAAAAAUAUCGCCUUGAGAAAACCCGUCUCGAAGAUCAUUCCAAACCUCAGUUGCUGUAUCAAUCGACAAGAUGCUUUGUGCAAUUGAAACCCUGCAAUCAGCUCUGCUUCUUGACCUUCUCUAUCUCUAGUAAUACAAAGCGUGUUUUGCAAUCAAAGAAGGGA